AUACGUAGGGGGCGAGCGUUGUCCGGAAUGAUUGGGCGUAAAGGGCGCGUAGGCGGCCCGGUAAGUCUGGAGUGAAAGUCCUGUUUUUAAGAUGGGAAUUGCUUUGGAUACUGUCGGGCUUGAGUGCAGGAGAGGUAAGUGGAAUUCCCAGUGUAGCGGUGAAAUGCGUAGAGAUUGGGAGGAACACCAGUGGCGAAGGCGACGUACUGGACUGUAACUGACGCUGAGGCGCGAAAGUGUGGGGAGCAAACAGGAUUAGAUACCCUGGUAGUCCACACUGUAAACGAUGAAUGCUAGGUGUAGGGGGUAUCGACCCCUUCUGGGCCGCAGUCAACACAAUAAGCAUUCCGCCUGGGGAGUACGGCUGCAAGGUUGAAACUCAAAGGAAUUGGCGGGG
This 397-nucleotide ribosomal RNA is filed under the name uncultured bacterium. RNAcentral describes it as "partial 16S ribosomal RNA". It matches the Rfam family "Bacterial small subunit ribosomal RNA", at positions 523 to 918 of the family's 1533-position model. The record is from RNAcentral.